RNAcentral lists this ribosomal RNA (458 nucleotides) under uncultured Caldilineaceae bacterium. RNAcentral's name for it is "bacterial SSU rRNA". It matches the Rfam family "Bacterial small subunit ribosomal RNA", at positions 916 to 1381 of the family's 1533-position model. Lineage: Bacteria; Bacillati; Chloroflexota; Caldilineae; Caldilineales; Caldilineaceae. The record is from RNAcentral.
GACGGGGCCCGCACAAGCAGCGGAGCGUGUGGUUUAAUUCGAUGCAACACGAAGAACCUUACCAGGGUUUGACAUGUACGUGGUAGGGAUGUGAAAGCAGAACGACCCCUUCGGGGGAGCGUACACAGGUGCUGCAUGGCUGUCGUCAGCUCGUGCCGUGAGGUGUUGGGUUAAGUCCCGCAACGAGCGCAACCCUUGCUGCUAGUUAUACUUUUCUAGCGGUACUGCCGGUACCAAACCGGAGGAAGGUGGGGAUGACGUCAAGUCAGCAUGGCCUUUAUACCCUGGGCUACACACACGCUACAAUGGCCGGCACAAUAGGUUGCCAAGCCGCGAGGCGGAGCCAAUCCUCAAAGCCGGUCUCAGUUCAGGUUGGAGUCUGCAACCCGACUCCAUGAGGGCGGAGUUGCUAGUAACCGCAGGUCAGCUAUACUGCGGUGAAUACGUUCCCGGGCCUU